This 74-nucleotide transfer RNA is filed under the name Candidatus Falkowiibacteriota bacterium. RNAcentral's name for it is "tRNA-Lys". Lineage: Bacteria; Candidatus Falkowiibacteriota. The record is from RNAcentral.
UUGUCAAAAUAAAAAUCUUUUGUNNCUCCCUUUUAAGGAGAUGGUCGCAGGUUCGAAUCCUGCUGGGCGCACCA